Molecule: ribosomal RNA, 253 nt
Filed under: uncultured bacterium
Lineage: Bacteria
Description: partial 16S ribosomal RNA
Rfam family: Bacterial small subunit ribosomal RNA
Source: RNAcentral
UACAGAGGUCUCAAGCGUUGUUCGGAUUCAUUGGGCGUAAAGGGUGUGUAGGUGGCGCCGUUAGUCGGGUGUGAAAUUUCGGAGCUUAACUCCGAAACUGCAUUCGAUACUGUGGUGCUUGAGGACUGGAGAGGAGACUGGAAUUCAUGGUGUAGCAGUGAAAUGCGUAGAGAUCAUGAGGAAGACCAGUGGCGAAGGCGGGUCUCUGGACAGUUCCUGACACUGAGACACGAAGGCCAGGGGAGCAAACGGG